AACGAACGCUGGCGGCAUGCCUAACACAUGCAAGUCGAACGAGACCUUCGGGUCUAGUGGCGCACGGGUGCGUAACGCGUGGGAACCUGCCCUUAUGUUCGGAAUAACUCCCCGAAAGGGGGGCUAAUACCGGAUAAUGUCUUCGGACCAAAGAUUUAUCGCCUUUGGAUGGGCCCGCGUUGGAUUAGCUAGUUGGUAGGGUAAAAGCCUACCAAGGCGACGAUCCAUAGCUGGUCUGAGAGGAUGAUCAGCCACACUGGGACUGAGACACGGCCCAGAAUCCUACGGGAGGCAGCAGUGGGGAAUAUUGGACAAUGGGCGAAAGCCUGAUCCAGCAAUGCCGCGUGAGUGAUGAAGGCCUUAGGGUUGUAAAGCUCUUUUACCCGGGAUGAUAAUGACAGUACCGGGAGAAUAAGCUCCGGCUAACUCCGUG
Molecule: ribosomal RNA, 433 nt
Filed under: uncultured bacterium
Lineage: Bacteria
Description: partial 16S ribosomal RNA
Rfam family: Bacterial small subunit ribosomal RNA
Source: RNAcentral